RNAcentral lists this long non-coding RNA (12190 nucleotides) under Sorghum bicolor (sorghum). RNAcentral's name for it is "long non-coding RNA (SBIC_LNC004765)". Lineage: Eukaryota; Viridiplantae; Streptophyta; Magnoliopsida; Poales; Poaceae. The record is from RNAcentral.
UAUAAAUGCCAUCAUGCUACCUAUGUUUAUCUUAAGUAAGUGUUGGUUUGGAAGUACUGCACAUACUUCUAUUGUCUUUUAAAUUAAGCAUGGUGCUUAGGUUAAACAGCCUUCCUUAAUCUGAUUAGACAUGGAGUCUAGUUCGAUUAUUGAACUAAAAACUGCUUGUGUAGACAUUGGUAUAUUUUGUUGGACUAACCCCUGCAGGAAAACUUUCAAUAUCAACCUGGGAAGUCCUAAGAUACAAACUCACUGGAGACAAAGGAGACACAUGAAGUUUAACAAUUUGCACAAGAAGGACAUAGCUCAUUCAUCAUAAAGAGAUGAUCUAUGGAGGGUGCCACAAACACGAUGCACAACCGCUAAGAAAGGAAAGCUUCCACAAGCUAGGUGAUACUAUACCAUCACUCUUCAAGUAAGGUGACAUCUUAAGGUACUUGAUUAUCGCUUUUAUAAGUUUUUCCUUUGUUCUGGCAUUCACUUAAAAUAAAGAGACAAACAUGUAUGAUUUAUAACUCCAGAUUAACCAACUCAAUUAAUUCAACAUGUUUAGUCCUUUAAUCUUUGUUCUUAGUACUACCUUCGUGAUCCCACACUCCUAAUCAUAUAAGCUAAAAUGUUGCACAUUUAAAUCUUUGGAAGAUAUAAACAAAACAUAAAUAUAGAUAGAUUAUCUUUCCAUUAGGUUGAGCCAUCUGAUCUAACAAAUGUUUUAAAUGCUACACUCAUGAUCCAUCAACUUUGUCUUGCUCACUAUGCUUAAGGUUAGAGAAGAACAAAUACACUUUUGGUUCUGUUGGUGUUUUCCACCAACAGGGCCCAUGCACUUGAUCUCUGCCUUGUCUCUAUGAGCAGAUACAAUUCAAGCAAAACAUGGAGGAGUUUUACAACUCCCAGAUUCCACCAAGUGAAGAACCGGGAUCUACGAGCACAAACACAAUGGAGAUCACACACUUAGUUUCCCAAAGGAAAUAUUGAAGAACCUCUGCAUCCGAGUUGGUACCUUGUACGCUCUAGUAGACGUCGUGGUGAUAGAGACUGGUACUGAGGAGAGGGCACCCAUCAUCUUAGGGAGGCCAUUCCUAAACACCAGAGCUGUCAUAUACGUUAAUACUGCCAAGUUCAGUUUCUACAUCAAGGGGAAGAAGGAGACUUUCCUUCAAGAACAAGACUACACAAAUUUUAGAGCAAUCCCGACAUGAACCAAGGAAGAGGACCAACAGGAGGAACAGGAACAAGCAAAUGUGGACCGAGUCAGCUAAGAUGGUCACUACAGUUCAGAGGAGGUCAAAAUCAUCGACUCAAGUCGCCCUUCCUGAUCAAGAAGGACGACCCUGAUGUUCCAAGCAUUGAGUGCACAAUCAACAGAUAAUCUUUUCAGAAGACACUCUACAACAUCGGAUCUAACGACAACAUAAUGGCCGCAGUCACUUAUCAGCUCCUGCAUGGAACCAUGCCCCUACAACCAAUAUAUAUUCAGCUCCAGAUGAUUUUCAGAUCAUUGACAUGGGAGAAGACGAGUACGAUCCACCCAUCAUCCUUGGAAGACCGUUCCUCAACACUAUCAAAGCCAUCAUCUAUAUUGGAACCAGAGAAGUCCACAUGCACUUCCCCUCUGAGAAGGUACGCUGCUAUUUUACUCACCUUAACUAUAUAGUUGAAGACUCUAAACAAGUCAGGACAAGAAGAAGACGACGCAACCGCAACCAGAGGAGGCAAAUCAUCAAGGACGGAUGGGCAGACUACAAAGGAGAAGUGAUAAGGUCUGAAGACAUAUAUCUCGAACAGAACUGUCCUGAGGAGACCGUAGCACCGAGUCAGGUGUGGAGAGAGAAGAUAGUUAUACACGAAGAAGAGGCGCCGCCGGAAUCACCGACUACGCCACCCAGCAAAUCCCAAGACGAUUAAGAAAACACAAGGAGUCCCGUUCGGAGGACUUAAAAACACCGAACGCCUUGCCAAGAGGUAAACUUGGUAGUUAUCUUUUUCCUUUCAAUUAUUCAAUUAUAGUUUGCUUAGUUAAUCAGGUUCAUGCUAUCUUGAAAAGAAAAUAAAAAUGUUAAAAAAAUAGUAAGCCCCAUGUGAGUAUGCUCAUGGCAUAAAACCCAUAAGUACAUUCACCGUGGUGGCAUAAAAAUAAAAUAAAUAAGUUUUCAUCUUACAAUAAAAAUAUAAAAAUAAUAAGUGCAUGAUCCUGCUAAAUAAGUAAUAUUUAUUGAGAAGACUCAACAUGAUAAAGGCUAGAUAUUUAUGCUAACACUUAACCAGUUCCACAAAGCUUUGUUGUCUAUUUGAGCUCUACAGAAUUUAAGAACGACUAGCAGACGGAGGACAUCCUAAUCGCUGUCAGAGUGCUGCCGACUUUCAAAUACACCUCCAUCACCUGCUAGCUACAUGAGGAGAAAUUACGUCAAAAUCCAGCUUGGGGGAGAGCACCACCAUUUAUCCAGCUAAGUGUUUCUACUCGCGUUUAUACUUUACACAAAUAAUAAAAGAUGCAUAAUCAUGAAAAACCCAAAUAAAGAUUUUGUGCUUUUAUAUAUAUAUAUCUUUGCUUAGUUUGCUAAAUAAAUAAAUAAAUAAAGUUUGCUAUGAACCCUCAUGAUAAACUCUCACAUGGAAAUGAUGAAUAGUUGCUCUGCCACGACUAGUUCUUAAAAUUGAAAUCUCUCUCAAGUUUAGGCAUGACUGUUAUGAAGUAAGAUUUGCUCUAAACCUGAACUUGUGGGAAGAGUACUUGAUCUAAAGUCUAAGUCGUUAACGGAUACGAUAUGGGAAGGUUGAGCUGCUGUUCAUCUGUUCCUAGAGUUGCUAGAAUUCUGGAAAAUUUUAUCUUUGAAAAAUCUUUAAAAUAACACAUGAUGAGUUCCUGUAUGAUGAGAGUUUAAAUUCCUACCACAGCCAUAUAUACAUGCUUGCUAGACCUUGAGCCACACAUUUACUAUUUACUGCUUAUGAGCAUUGAGUGUGGUCAAGCUGUGUAGACCCUUAGGAGCUUGUCAUGUGGUUAAAUCAAGAUUCACUUGCACGUUCACUCAUACAUGCUACUUCUACUCCGGAAGUACCAUCCACAUAUAUCCACUCAUUUCCGUCUCCAAAACCACCCAAAAGUAUUCUACUCCUAAUCCGGGAGAGAAUAACCAAAAAUAUUUCUGUUUCCCCUUGUGAAAUAAAUGCUCAAGUUAUCUUGUUACUACCACUUGCUAUAUUAUCUCAAGAGAUGAAUGCUCUGAAAAAAAAGAGAGAAAAAGAAAAUAAAAGAUACGAGGAAAUAAAAAGGAGCAAGUGCUCGGAACCUCGAAAGAAAAGAAAAAGAAGAGCAUCUCAUUCUCCUCAUAAAGUUUCAAAAGCAAGGAAGGUAUGUAUCCCCUCAAAGAGCAAAGUAGAAUUAGGCUUCCACCACCAUUGUUAUCACCAUCAUCAACAUACACCAUUCAUUCGCCACACAUGCACAUCUUGAUUUGGCUUAUUGAUUUGUUUCUUUGGAUCCAUGGUUUGACUAUGCAAUAAAUGUCUUGUAAGUAUGUAUACUUUAUCUCCCACCUAUGAGCUCCAGAUAUUAAAGCCUUAUAAGAGUAGGGUGAGAGAGAAGACAUUGUCACUAUGCUUCAUACCACAAAUACUACAUAUCUUGAGAGAAGGCAUAUACCAUCACUGCCUUGGUAAGGAUCCAAAAAUACCACAAAAGAGAGACCUGAGAGAAUCAUACAAGGAAUUUCUGAGUUUUAUUUGAAAAUCUGCAAAAACCCCAGAGCUAUAGCUGAUCAAGAAUAAGAGACAUGGCACUUGGCUAGACUGUUCUAUCUUUUAACCACUCAAGACAGAAGUGACGGUUACAAGUCCUAUGGUGUAGGUAAAGUAAGUAAGUUUUAAGUCUUAACAGUUUAUUCUAACACAGAGAUGAGAUCUUGCUUAAAUACGUGUGUACUUCUAAGAAAUGAAACCACUGCAGAAACUCUUGAGUUCAUCCUUGCUCAGGGACGAGCAAGAGGUAAGCUUGGGGGAGUUUGUUGACGGUCCUUAAGUAUCAAAUUUAAUUAUCAAAUAAACAAAGAAAAGGAUCCAAAUGAAAUCAACAUCUAGACUUAGGGUUUUAUCUGACAGAAUUCCACGAGUUUUGGUGUUUGUCUAUUUCUGCAGGGGGUUAUCAGGAAAUAAGGAAGAAAGGCCCACAUGUCGGGAUUACAUAGAGAUAUCAACCCACCGCGCAAUUUUCUACCAUCUAGAAGACUCCAGAAGCCACGGGAAGGAAGCGGAGCCCGAAAGGGGCCAGGCCCAGGGCGCCCGCCCUGAGGACCUGGGCGCCCGCCCCCCUCUGGACUCCGUUCCGGACUCUCUUCGCACACGACGUUCCACCGACCUAUUGGAUCCAGAAUAAUAUAGUACCACUUCGCCUAUCGACCCAAAAACGCAUAGAAGGGGAGGACUAUAUAAGGAGACCCCCUCUGGCCCUGGAGGAGACAAGAAAUUAUCAUAGAGAUUGAGGGGUUCCCUCGAAGGAAAACCUCUUCUCUAAAUAAUAUUUCUUUUUAGGCUUAGCAACCAAUGUAAAGUAGAAAUAGAUCUUCUAGUUUCUACUAGAUUGAGAGAGAUAGAGUGGAGGUGUGGAUCGGAGGAAGGCCGGCCUGUCGGUGUCUACUCCGAGUUGUACCUACGGGAUCAAGUCUCCUAACCCGAGGCUUGCUUCUAAGAUUCUUCAGUAAUUUGACAUCUAAUACUAGUAAGUUCUUGUUUUAUUGUUCUUUGGUUUAUGAGUUUACUUUAAUCCUCUUCCGGUUGAGUAUUAGAGUAAUCAUUGCUGGCGUAAACGUGGUGUUUAGGCUAGGGUACUCAUAGAUAUCCCCUGACUAGCUGGACCGUGGUAGUUGCGAGGAACGUGACAUUUCCGAGUUACCUUUGUAGAUCACAUCUCGUUAACAGGACGGGUAGGUUUAUAGGUGCGGGUCGAACAUCCUUUGUGUUGUCUAGAUUCCGCGAGCCUCCCCAAUAGAACAGUAGAUCAUCCUUACCAAGAUUAGAAUGAGACUACGGUUGCAGUCUUCUCUAUACAUCACUCACAUCGAGAGACAUUCUUUGUAGCCUAAAGGGAUAGUAGCAAUAGAUUUGGUUAGUCAGAUGCACCCUUUCUCCUAGUGGUAAAAAUAUAAAUACGAUACUCUGGAAAACCUCCCGGGUGAAAUGCUCACUGAUAUCCGUGCGCUUGCGGAUCAUUUCCUUAUUGCGUUACUAAAUAUCAACAAUAAGCAGUAAAAAGUAAAUGUGUGGCUCAAAGUCUAGCAAGCAUGUAUAUAUAUGGCUGUGGUAGGAAUUUAAACUCUCAUCAUACAGGAACUCAUCAUGUGAUAUUUUAAAGAUUUUCAAAGAUAAAAUUCUCCAGAUUUCUAGCAUCUCUAGAAAUAGAUAAACAACAGCUCAACCUUCCCUUAUCAUAUCCGUUAACAACUUAGACUUUAGAUCAAGUUUUCUUCCCACAAGUUCAGGUUUAGAGCAAACUUUAAAUUAUAACAGUUAUGUCCAAAUAUGAGAGAGAACUUCAGAUUUGAAAAUUAGGCAGAGCAACGAUUCAUCAUAUCCAUGCUAGAGUUGUAUUAUUAAGAUUCAGUUUAGCAUAGCCACUUUAUUUAUUUAUUAAGCACACUAAGCAAAAAGAUAUAUAUAUAUAUAAACACAAAAUCUUUACUUGGUUUUUCAUGGUUAUGUAUAUUUAUAUUUUAAUAUAGUAUAAGUAUAAAUAUGUAGAUAGAAAUACUUAGCAGGAUAAAUGGGGGUGCUCUCCCCCAAGCUGAAUUUUGACGUAAUUUCUUCUGAUGUAGCUAGCAGGUGGCAGAGGUGUAUUUGAAAGUCGGCAGCAUCCUGACAGCGAUUAGAAUGUCCUCCGUCUGCUAGUCUUUGUUGACGGUCCUUAAGUAUCAAAUUUAAUUAUCAAAUAAAUAAAGAAAAGGAUCCAAAUGAAAUAAAUAUCUAGACUUAGGGUUUUAUCUGACAGAAUUCCACGAGUUUUGGUGUUUGUCUAUUUCUACAUGGGGUUAUGAGGAAAUAUGGAAGAAAGGCCCACAUGUCAGGAUUACGUAAAGAUAUUAACGUGCUGCGCAAUUAUCUUACAUCUAGAAGACUCCAGAAGCCACGAGACCGAAGCGGAGGCGAAUCGGGGCCAGAGACAGGGCGCCCGCCCUGUCCAACUGGGCGCCCGCCCUGCCCCUAAGUCCAAUCAGGACUCUGCUUUGCGGAAAGUCUCCACGACCUAAAGGAUGAAUCUAAACCAUACAAUCUAUGUCGGUUUGAUCCAAGGGCCCAUAUUCACUUGAAGGGACUAUAAAACGAGACCCCCUGGCCCCUGGAGGAGAGAGCCUCUCAACCCUAAUUCAUUGUUCCAUCAAGGGAGAAGAAGUCUCUGAUCAAGAUUAGAGCCACCACAUCAAUUAGAUAUCUAGAUUAGCAUAGCUACAUAGGAUUAGAACUAGAAGGAGUCAAUCUUCGAUUGGUUUCCGGAUCUGUCAGGAGGAUUCUUGGUAAUUCUCUAAUUGUGCUUCUAAUUGCUUUCUAAUUAUCUUUGUUCUUCAAUAUUAUGAAUAUGACUUUGUUCUACUUCAAUAUAUUGCUUAUGACUUUGCUCUAUUUGCUUAUAUUCAAGAUUAUAUUGUUCUUAGUUUAUCAUAGUUAUGUACUUGGCUUAGUUAGAUACGAUCUAUAUAUGCUUAGGAUCGUAUAGCGUUUAUCCAUCGGAUCCAUGGGUAAAUGAUAGAUAUUGUGUAGGCGUGGUGCUUAUACCGUAUUUAUCUACGAUUGUACCCAAUAUGCCAGAUCGUGGGGUAGUUCGUGAUAGUGACAGCUUCAUUGAUUCUUAUAUAGUCCCCCUCUCGUGUAUUGGGCUGGCAGAGCAACAUUAUUACAGGGGAGUGAUUGCUAUGUUUCUCAUAUUCCUUACUAAUCUCACUAUGCAUGGGCGUAGUCUUGUCUCGCAAUGAUUGCUAAGUAUGCUUGCACUAACUAUGAUAUGCUAGACUAUAUAGUUAAGAAUAACUUAGGGAAUAUUCAUGUAGUUCGUUCUAAUACCAUGCUAAUGACUUUCUAGAGUAUCUAAUUGAGGUGCUUAUCAUAUUUAUUAUGUGGCUAGAUCAGAUUAGUUAUCCUUGUCACUAUUAUCAUUUCAUAUAUUUAUUAUGUGACACUUAUCCCUGUAUGAAGAGUUAGAUAUAAUGUUCUCAAUUAUACAUGCAAUGAUAGAUGCUCAAUCUCAUAUUCUAUUCUGUAAUCAAUAGUGAUGAUUGAUUAAUCCCUUCCCAGUGGUAAAAAUAUAUAUAACGAUACCUGGAAUACUUCCCGGUUAAAAUGCUACAUCGAUAUUAAUCUGUGCGCUUGCAGAUCCCAUUCAUUAUUUAUUUAGAAGAGCAAUUGCAUAUUUCAAUACCGCGUCUCUCAUGUCAUGCUGGGGAUGACAACUUGGCUUAAGUGGUGUGAGGGAUAGGUUUGGCAUUUUUGGCACCGUUGCUAGAUUUAGAACUUAGUCUACUUUUGGUAAUGAUGUUAAGAAUACCCAACAAGCAUUUUUGGCGCCGUUGCCGGGGAAGGUUGAUUACCAAUCAGGAAUGGAAUAAAAGAUUUUGAGUUAUCAUUCGCAUCACUAAUAUGAUUGAGCUUAUCUAUUCUCUCAUACAGUUUUACCCCGAUAUUUUUCUAUUUUAUCUUAUGCAGGGGAAUGUAUGAAUAGAAGACAUCUUCCAGGAAAUUUUGUUGAUAAUCCUGAAGCAUUAUUCAAGAAGACGAGGGCCAAGCUAAAGAAAUCAUCAACACUUCACGAAGAAGCUUCAUCCAAUCAAGAAGAUCACCGGAACUUGUCUUCAGAGUUCGAAGCCAUGGCAAACAAAUCGAUCCGCGAGUUCUCAGCUCCCACUACGGACAACAUCCACACUGGACCUGCUGCAGAGAUCGAUGGCAACUUUGAGCUCAAGCCUGGACUUAUCAACAUGGUGCAAUCCAACCAGUUCUGUGGGAAGGCACACGAAGAUGCUAGUGCUCAUUUACAACACUUCCUGGAGAUUUGCAACACAUUCACCAUAGCAGGAGUUUCCAAAGACGCUAUACUACUUCGCCUCUUCCCAUUCUCACUGUUAGGAAGAGCGAAGCAGUGGUUCUACGCUACAAAGGAGAAGAAUACUACGUGGGCACUCUGCUCAACAAACUUCCUGGCAAAGUUCUUUCCCAUGGGCAAGACCAAUGCUCUCUGUGGGAAGAUUACAAGUUUUCAGCAACAAAAUGAUGAAUCUGUUCCAGAAGCAUGGGAGCGCUUUCAAGACUACAUCCUAGAAUGUCCCCAUCAUGGAAUGGAGAGUUGGCUAUUGAUGCAGACAUUCUAUCAUGGGCUCAGCAACAGUGCCCGAGAGACCAUGGAUGCUGCAGCUGGAGGAGCAUUCUUAUCACUUACUAUACCACAAGCCACAGCUCUUGUGGAGAAGAUGGCGUCCAAUCAAAGCUGGAAUGAAGAGAGGACCCAGACACGCAAGAGAGGUGGACGUAUGCAUCAGCUGAAGGAGGUAGACAUGCUGUCUGCAAAGCUAGACCUGCUCAUGAAGAAGCUCGAUGAUAAAGCUGGAGACAAGAAAGAAGUUAUGCACAUCUACGACUCUCACAUGACUUGUGAGGAGUGUGGAGACACUGGACACUCAGGCAACCACUGCCCUGAGAUGCUUGAGGAUGUGAACUACAUCAACAACAACAACUACUACAACCGUCCUCAACAAAAUCAAGGUUGGAAUCAACAGAGGCCUAACUACUCAGGUAAUUAUCAAGGUAACAAUUCUUACAACAAUAAUAAUAAUUUUCCACCUUUGAGAGAGUUAGUGUCUAAUCAAGGAAAGCUAAUGGAUAACCUAUCUAAGAAAUUGGCAUCUAAUGAUAAAAUGCUAGAAAAUAUAAAUAAUAGAAUGGAUAAUUUUUCUACUGCCAUCAAGAAUCAAAUUAGCUUUGAUAAAAUGAUUGAAUCUCAGUUAAAUCAGAUAGCUGCUGCUGUUCCUACUACUAACCCCGGUAUACCAUCACAAUCGGAAGGAUUAGAAUCUGCAAAUCUUGUAGACGUGUUUGAUGCAGGUAAUUGGAGUAACCCCGUCAAUGAAUUUUCUACUGACCGUCUGCCGGUCAAGAGAGGCGAUCCAGGACGCCCCGUCAUCCCGAUCUCCAUCGGCAUGGUGGACUUCCCAGAAGCACUCUGCGACUUUGGCUCCAGUGUCAACAUUAUACCCAGGGUACUCUAUGAGAAAUUCUUUACAUAUCCUUUAUUAGAGACAACCAUGUGUUUGCAGUUUGCAGAUCAGACGAUAACUUUUCCAAAAGGAAUAGUGAGGAACCUUUGUGUCCGAGUUGGUACCUUGUAUGCACCAGCAGACUUCGUAGUGGUAGAGACCGGAAAUGAUGAGAGAGCACCUAUCAUCCUAGGGAGGCCAUUUUUGAACACCACGGGAGCUAUCAUCUACGCCAGUGCUGCUAAGAUCAGUUUCUACGUCAAAGGGAAGAAGGAAACAUUUUUCUUCAAAAACAAGACUACACAAAUUCCAAAUCAAUCCAGACGUCAAUCAAGGAAGAGGACCAACAGGAGGAACAGGAACAAGCAAGUGUGGACCGAGUCAGCUCAGAUGGUCACUGUAGUCCAUGGAGGCCAAGAUCACCAACUUAAGUCACCGUGCUUGACCAAGAAGGACGACCCAGGAAUGCCAAGCAUUUACUGCUCCAUAAAUGGAUACAACUUCUACAAGACAAUUUGUGACACCGGAUCGGGCGUCAACAUAAUGGUCGCAGUCACCUAUCGGCUCUUGUUCGGGACCAUGCCACUAAGACCAACAUACAUUCAGCUCCAGAUGGCAGAUCAGACAUUUCGAGAAGUUCAAGGAAUAGUAUUUGAUGUCCCAGUCAAAAUAGACGAUCAUUUUGUCUACACAGACUUUCAAGUUGUUGACAUGGGAGAAGACGAGUAUGAUCCACCCAACAUCCUUGGAAGACCGUUCCUCAGCACCGUUAAAGUCAUUAUCUACAUUGGAACCGGAGAAGUCCAUAUGCACUUCCCCUCAGAGAAGGUACGCUGUUAUUUUACUGACCCUAACUAUAUCAUUGAAGAAUCUAAGCAGGUAAGAAAACGACGCAACCGCAACCAGAGGAGGCAGAUCAUUAAGGACGGAUGGGCAGACUAUGAAGGAGAAGUUGUAAGGUCAGAAGACGUAGAGUUUAAACAGAAUUAUCCAGAGGAGAUUGAAGCACCGAGUCAGGUGUGGAAAAUGAAAAUAACUAUACAAGAAGAGGAGGCGCUGCCGGAAGUACCGACUACGCUACCCAACGAACCUCAGGACGAUUAAGAAAUUGGAGAGUCCCGUUCGGAGGACUUAAAAACACCGAACGCCUUGCCAAGAGGUAAACUUGGUAGUUACCCUUUCCCUUUCAGUUAUUUUAAAUAGUUUACUUAGUUAAACAUGCUCAUACUGUCUUAAAAAGAAAAUAAAAAUGUGAAAAAUAGUAAGCCCCAUGUGAAUAGACGAGUGGCAUAAAACCCAUACGUACAUUCAAUGUGGUGGCAUAAAAAUAAAAUAAAUAUUUUUCUGCUUUAUAAAAUAAAAAUAUAAAAACAGGGAGUAAAAAUUAUUAAGGAGUCUCAAGAUGAUAAAGGCUAGAUAUUUAUGCUAACACUUAAUCAGUUCCACAAGCUUUGUUGUCUAUUUGAGCUCCACAGAAUUUAAGAAUCAAGAAGACUAGCAGACGGAGGACAUUCUAAUCGCUGUCAGAAUGCUGCUUUCAAAUACACCUCUGCCACCUGCUAGCUACAUCAAGAGAAAUUACGUCAAAAUUCAGCUUGGGGGAGAGCACCCCCAUUUAUCUCGAUAAGUAUUUCUAUCUAUCUAUCUUUAUAUUUAUAUUAUUUUAGAAUAUUAAUACACAUAAACUAUGGAAAACCAAAUAAAGAUUUUAUGCUUAUAUAUAUUACUCAGUGUGUUUAAUUAAUAAAUAAAGUGGCUAUGCUAAUCUGUAUCUAAUAAAACUUAAGCAUGGAUAUGAUGAAUAGUUGCUCUGCCUAAUUUGCACAUUUUAAGUUCUCUCUCAAGUUUAGACAUAACUGUUAUAAUUUAAAGCUUGCCCUAGACCUAAACUUGUGGGAUGAAAACUUGAUCUGAAGUCUAAGUUGUUAACGGAUACGAUAUAGGAAGGUUGAGCUGCUGUUUAUCUGUUCCUAGAGAUGCUAGAAUUCUGGAGAAUUUAUCUUUGAAAAUCAUUAAAAUGUUGCAUGAUGAGUUCCUGUAUGAUGAGAGCUUAAAUUCCUACCACAGCCAUAUAUACAUGCUUGCUAGACUUUGAGCCACACAUUUACUAUUUACUGCUUAUGAGCAUUGAGUAUGGUCAAGCUGUGUAGACCCUUAGGAGCUUGUCAUGUGGUUAAAUCAAGAUUUCACUUGCACGUUCACUCAUAUAUGCUACUUCUACUCCGGAAGUACCAUCCACAUACAUCCACUCAUUUCCAUCUCCAGAACCACCUAAAAAUAUUCUACUCCUAAUCCGGGAGAGAAUAACCAAAAAUAUUUCUGUUUUCCCCUUGUGAAAUAAAUGCUCAAGUUAUCUUGUUACUACCACUUGCUAUAUUAUCUCAAGAGAUGAAUGCUCUAAAAAAAGAGAGAGAGAGAAGAAUAAUACGAGGAAAUAAAAAGGAGCAAGUGCUCGGAACCUCGAAAGAAAAGAAAAAGUGAGACGAGAGGUAAAAAUGGACAAGUGUCCGACAGUAGAAUUAGGGGUGCAAGAUACCCACCUGAGAGAAAAGAAAAAGAAGAGCAUCUCAUUCUCCUCAUAAAGUUUCAAAAGCAAGGAAGGUAUGUAUCCCCUCAGAAGAGCAAAGUAGAAUUAGACUUUCACCACCAUUGUUUUCACCAUUGUUAUCACCAUCAUCACCAUAUACCAUUCAUUCGCCACACAUGCACAUCUUGAUUAAACUUAUUGACUUGUUACUUUGGAUCCAUGGUUUGACUAUGCAAUACAUGUCUUGUAAGUAUGUAUAUUUUAUCUCCCACCUAUGAGCUCCAGAUAUUAAAGCCUUAUUGGAGUAGGAUGAGAGAGAAGGCAAUGUUACUAUGCCUCAUACCACAAAUACCACAUAUCUUGAGAGAAGGCAUAUACCAUCAAUGCCUUGGUAAGAUCCAAAAAUACCACAAAAGAGAGACCUGAG